UAACGCGUAGGUAACCUGCCUGGUAGCGGGGGAUAACUAUUGGAAACGAUAGCUAAUACCGCAUAAGAGUAGAUGUUGCAUGACAUUUGCUUAAAAGGUGCAAUUGCAUCACUACCAGAUGGACCUGCGUUGUAUUAGCUAGUUGGUGAGGUAACGGCUCACCAAGGCAACGAUACAUAGCCGACCUGAGAGGGUGAUCGGCCACACUGGGACUGAGACACGGCCCGG
RNAcentral lists this ribosomal RNA (228 nucleotides) under uncultured Streptococcaceae bacterium. RNAcentral's name for it is "partial 16S ribosomal RNA". It matches the Rfam family "Bacterial small subunit ribosomal RNA", at positions 111 to 334 of the family's 1533-position model. The record is from RNAcentral. Lineage: Bacteria; Bacillati; Bacillota; Bacilli; Lactobacillales; Streptococcaceae.